RNAcentral lists this ribosomal RNA (446 nucleotides) under uncultured bacterium. Its description in RNAcentral is "partial 16S ribosomal RNA". It matches the Rfam family "Bacterial small subunit ribosomal RNA", at positions 338 to 795 of the family's 1533-position model. The record is from RNAcentral.
CCUACGGGUGGCAGCAGUCGAGAAUCAUUCACAAUGGGGGAAACCCUGAUGGUGCGACGUCGCGUGGGGGAAUGCAGGUCUUCGGAUUGUAAACCCCUGUCAUGCGGGAGCAAAUUAAAAAGAUAGUACCACACGAGGAAGACACGGCUAACUCUGUGCCAGCAGCCGCGGUAAUACAGAGGGCUCAAGCGUUGUUCGGAAUCACUGGGCGUAAAGCGUGCGUAGGCUGUUUCGUAAGUCGUGUGUGAAAGGCGCGGGCUCAACCCGCGGACGGCACAGGGUACUGCGGGACUUGAGUAAGGGGAGGGUAACCGGAAUUCUCGGUGUAGCAGUGAAAUGCGUAGAUAUCGAGAGGAACACUCGUGGCGAAGGCGGGUUCCUGGAGAUUAACUGACGCUGAGGCACGAAGGCGAGGGGAGCGAAAGGGAUUAGAUACCCUUGUAGUC